This is a long non-coding RNA of Armigeres subalbatus, 1017 nucleotides long. RefSeq lists it as uncharacterized. NCBI's taxonomy places the organism in Eukaryota, Metazoa, Arthropoda, Insecta, Diptera, Culicidae. The record is from RefSeq and is a predicted model, not a curated record. The transcript has 2 exons.
AUAAAAUUGGUGAAUUUUACCUAUAUUGUUAAUAAAGCGACUUUACCAAUUUAUGGGUAAAUGAACUUACCCAUAUUUGGAUGAAAAAAAAAACAUUUUGUUUUGUUGCUGUCAUAAAAGUGGUUGGUCGCUAAGACAAAAAUAAAUAAAUAUGAAGCUAAAUUGUUUCUAUCGUAAGCUGUUAAUGGUAAGUUAAUAAAAACAAAGUGUUGGUAUCAGCUUCUGCAUCAUCCUACGCAUGGAUGUAGCUGAUUAUCAUAUAUUUAUAAGAUAUUUCUUAUCUAAUAAUAUUUCAUCUCUUCCGCAGCCCGCAAGUACCGAACCAAAAAUGCAAAAACCACGCCUAGUACUAGGGCUGAAGUCACCAUAGUCUCGACCAUAGCUCUAUACUUAGCAAACAGAUUGAGCAACAACCGAUGAGUCAGAUGCCAAUGCAUGGAGGAAUCAUCUCGGGCAUCAUCGGUCAACCUCCGUAAGGACAUGUAAAAUCGUCCUUUUUCAUAUGCUAAAUAUCCGACGGCGUUGAACUCCUGCACUCCCUAGUGGUAGCUAAUCAGAUUGUACCAUCUACCGCUGGAAUCGCCCGUCGACAAGGAAAUAUGGAUAAUCGAUCUGGCCUAAGUUGUCGCCCAUAUGCUGAAUGUCCGGCAACAUAUCAGCGGCCUAGUCAGCGGCAGCAUACCACGCAGCUCCCUUGGAUACUAAGGGACAAGCCAGAGUAAACGCGACGUGCGAUGCGACGCGACGCGACAGUGCAAUUUGACAGCCUGUUGAUAAUGAUUGUUAUUCUUUUACGUGAGUCGCGUCGCGUCGCAUCGCUCGUCGCGUUUACUCUGGCUUGCCCCUAACAGGAACUAAUUAGAUGCGGAGAUGCGGCACCUGAUGCUAGUAGCCCAACGACUGGUAGUGCAUUUCAGAUUUUUCUGCCAGUUACUUCUAAAUUAGCCAUAGUUAGAACGGAUUGUAUCAAUAACUUUGAUGAAUAUUACAAUAAAUUUUAUCUGUAAUUUGUUGAAA